RNAcentral lists this ribosomal RNA (492 nucleotides) under uncultured bacterium. RNAcentral describes it as "partial 16S ribosomal RNA". It matches the Rfam family "Bacterial small subunit ribosomal RNA", at positions 29 to 507 of the family's 1533-position model. The record is from RNAcentral.
AGUGAACGCUGGCGGCAGGCCUAACACAUGCAAGUCGAACGGCAGCACAGUAAGAGCUUGCUCUUACGGGUGGCGAGUGGCGGACGGGUGAGGAAUACAUCGGAUUCUACUUUUUCGUGGGGGAUAACGUAGGGAAACUUACGCUAACACCGCAUACGACCUACGGGUGAAAGCAGGGGAUCUUCGGACCUUGCGCGAUUGAAUGAGCCGAUGUCGGAUUAGCUAGUUGGCGGGGUAAAGGCCCACCAAGGCGACGAUCCGUAGCUGGUCUGAGGGGAUGAUCAGCCACACUGGAACUGAGACACGGUCCAGACUCCUACGGGAGGCAGCAGUGGGGAAUAUUGGGCAAUGGGCGAAAGCCUGAUACAGCAAUACCGCGUGGGUGAAGAAGGCCUUCGGGUUGUAAAGCCCUUUUGUUGGGAGAGAAGAGAAGCAGGUUAAUACCCUGCUAUUCUGACGGUACCCAAAGAAUAAGCACCGGCUAACUUCGUG